CAGAAACCAGUGUAGCUGUUUCAAGGGGCCUGGUUACUGCUUGAGCUGAUGGGUGCUCUUGGCAUUAUCCAUGUGGUGCUUGUUUUGUUUUGUAAGUAUGCAGAAUGCAAGAGUUAUGAGGUCACAAAGGCUUCUACCUACAUGUUUAAGGAAGGCCAGAGGUUAGGCAAGGUGCAUUAGGGUAAGCUCUCCCACAGGGAUUCCCUAAGAGGAAAUACACAAAGCUGUGAAAACAGAGCCUACGUUGUCAUAAAGACAUCGUAAAGAUGUUGGAAAUGUCAGGGAAGUAGAAUGUGCUCAGGAAUCCUACAAUCAAGAUUUCAUCUGAGUUUGACCAGAGUAUCAGAAGAGACUUUGAAUUUGGACUCUGGAAUAAUACUGGAAGUGUCAAGAUUGAAGGCACUCUUAAAUAUUAACUAAAUACACUGUACUCAUGAGAGAGCAAUGAGCCUUUGGGACCCAGGGCACAAUUUUAUGAAAUCUUUUAAUGUUCACCAUGGGUUCGCUCUUGCCUUAAAUUGCCCAUGUCCAGCAUAAGGAUAACAGUGAAGAGAACAAUUAACUAAUGAAAUCAUCCAAAACAUCAGGAGGACAGAAUCCACAUCUGUUCAGAUCUUUUACAAAGUAAAGUUCUCAGCAGCCUACCCUCAAAAUUCAGUUCAAAGGCAACCUAAACUACAUCCUGAGAACCUAUCUCAAAAGAGUUUUAAAAAGCUUUAUAAUAAAUUUAGCAUAUGCAACGUUAGGAUUAUAUACUAUACCCUCUUUAUUGAGGUGUAUUGUUGGGGUGUUGUUUCUCUGGAUGACCUUUCCUUUAGUCACCUUUCCCUGCUCCAAUUUGUCUCCAUAUUUCCUCCCAUGAGUAUUUUGUUCCCCCUUCUAAGAAGGACUGAAGCAUCUACAUUUUGGUUUUCCUUCUUCUUGAGCUUUACAUGGUCUGUGAACUGAUUCUUGAGUAUUCCAAGCUUUUGGGCUAAUAUCCACUUAUCAGUGAGUGCAUACCAUGUGUGUUCUUUGUGACUGUGUUACCUCACUCAGGAUGAUAUUUUAAAGUUCCAUCCUUUUGCCUAAGAAUUUCAUGAGGUCACUGUCUGUCUUUAAUAGCUGAGUGGUAUUCCAUUGUGUAGAUGUAUCACAUUUUCUGUAUCCAUUCCUCUGUUGAAGGUCAUCUGGGUUCUUUCUAGCUUCUGGCUAUUAUAAAUAAGGCUGCUAUGAACAUAGUGGAGCACGUGUCCUUGUUAUACAUUGGAGCAUCUUUUGGGUAUAUGCCCAGGAGUGAUAUAGCUAGUUCCUCGGGAAGUACUAUGUCCAAUUUUCUGAGAAACGGCCAGACUGAUUUCCAGAGUGGUUGUACCAGUAUGCAAUCCCACCAAAAAUGGAGGAGUGUUCCUCUUUCUCCACAUCCUCGCCAGCAUCUGCUGUCCCCUGAGUUUUUGAUCUUAGCCAUUCUCACUGGUGUGAGGUGGAAUCUCAGGGUUGUUUUGCUUUGCAUUUCCCUGAUGACUAAGGAUGUUGACAUUCCUUUAGGUGCUUCUCAGCCACUCAGUAUUCCUGUUAAGAAUUCGUUGUUUAGCUCUGUACCCCAUUUUUAACAGGAUUAUUUGGUUCUCUGGAGUCUAACUUCUUGAGUUCUUUGUAUAUAUUAGAUAUUAGCCUUCUAUUGGAUAUAGGAUUGGUAAAGAUCUUUUCCCAAUCUAUUGAUUGCCGUUUUGUUCUAUUGACAGUGCCCUUUGCCUUAUAGAAGCUUUGCAAUUUUAUGAGGUCCCAUUUGUCGAUUCUUGAUCUUAGAGCAUAAGUCAUUUGUGUUCUGUUUAGGAAAUUUUCCCCUGUGCCUACGUGUUCUUUCCCACUUUCUCUUCUAUUAGUUUCAGUGUAUCUGGUUUUAUGUGGAGGUCUUUGAUCCACUUGGACUUAAGCUUUGUACGGGGCAAUAAAAAUGGAUGAUUUGAACCAUUAUCGUUUGUUGAAAAUGCUAUCUUUUUUCCAUUGGAUGGUUUUAGCUCCUUUGUCAAAGACAAGGGACCAUAGUAAUGUGGGUUCAUUUCUGGGUCUUCAAUUCUAUUCUACUGAUCUACCUGCCUGUCUCUGUACCAAUACCAUGCAUGCAGUUUUUAAUCACAAUUGCUCUGUUAUACUGUUUGAGGUCAGGAAUGGUGAUUCUCUCAGAAGUUCUUUGAUUGUUGAGAAUAGAUUUCACUAUCGAAGGCUUUUUGUUAUUCCAAAUGAAUUUGAGAAUUACUCUAACUCUAUGAAGAAUUGAGUUGGAAUUUUGAUGGGGAUUGCAUUGAAUCUGUAGAUUGUUUCUGUCAAGAUGGCCAUUUUUACGAUAUUAAUCCUGCCAAUCCAUGAGCAUGGGAGAUCUUUCCAUCUUCUGAGAUCAUCUUCAAUUUUUUUCUUCAAAGACUUGAAGUUUUUGUCAUACAGAUCUUUCACUUGCUUGGGUAGAGUCACACCAGGGUAUUUUAUAUUAUUUGUGACUAUUGUGAAGGGUGUCGUUUCCCUAAUUUCUUUCUCAGCCUGUUUAUCUUUUGAGUAGAAGAAGGCUACUGACUUGUUGGAGUUAAUUGUAUAUUCUGCCACUUUGCUGAAGUUGUUUAUCAGGUUUAGGAGUUCUCUGGUGGAAUUUUUGGGGUCACUUAAGUAUACUAUCACAUCAUCUUCAAUACAGAAAUCCAUCAAUAUAAUCCACUAAGAAAAAAACUCAAAGGAAAAAAAAAAACAAACCACACAACCAUUUCAUUAGAUGCUGAGAGAGCACUUGACAAAAUUCAACACCCCUUCAUGAUAAAAGUCCUAGAAAGAUCAGGAAUUCAAGGCCCAUACCUAAACAAGUAAAAGCAAUAUACAGCAAACCAAUAGCCAACAUCAAACUAAAUGGAGAGAAACUUGAAGCAAUCCCACUAAAAUCAGGGACUAGACAAGGCUGCCCACUCUCUCCCUACUUAUUCAAUAUAGUACUCAAAGUCCUAGCCAGAGCAAUCAGACAACAAAAAGAAGUCAAAGGGACACAAAUUGGAAAGGAAGAAGUCAGCCUGCAUUCUUAUAGUACCUAGCACGAGUGGACCAGAGGCAGUACAACCCACACCUGCCCUUCCAUGUCCAUCAUCAAUUAACAAAAUACACGGCAGGCUUGCCCACAGGCCCAUCUGCUGGGGCCAUUUUUCUAACUGAGGUUCCCUCUUCCCACAUAACCCUGGCUCAUGCAUGUUGAGUUGACAUAAAGCUACCAGCGUACUGAGCAUGCUAAACUGUUUUCAGGCCUUUGCACUAAAUCUUCCUACUGAAUGAAACCCUUUCCCUAAGAAGAGACAUUUAUCAGAUUGCUAGUAAGGAGCAAAUGGAAUACUGGUAGAUUCAAAAUGAGAAACUAAAAGUACAUAAUCAUUAGUCGCAGGAACCAUUCUGGGCAAAAUCCUGUAUUAACAUACUUUCAAACUCUCCUUUCCUUUUUUCCAGCUAAACUUUCUGAAGAAAACAGAACAUGCUCUGUGGCAUUUGUGUGCUAUCACACCCUGCCCUCAGCUCUCUAGGACAGAAGGUUACUUGGGCUAGCCUUUACUGUGCUAGGUUACUUUACUGUGAAGGUUACUUGGGCUAGCCUGACCUUGAACUUGUGAUAUAGCUCAGGUUGACCAAGUACCCUUUAUAUUCCAUUUCUACAGUGCUGGGACUAUAGAAUUGUGCCACCACACCUAACUGCCAUCCUUAGGAAUGCAAGAAUUUGAUCACUUCGGUCCUCCAUGGCUCUGGCCCAUUAACACCAGUCAAUUCCAGGAACCUUUCACUCAUUUUUUUCCAAUGUUUAAUUAAUACAAUUUUUUUACAAUGAAUGGCUGUCAGUUUUCUUUUAAAUAGUAACUUUCUUUUUGUUGUUGCUGCUGUUUGUUAUUGUCAUUUGAAACAGGGUCUCUCUACAUAACCCUGGCUGUCUUAGAACUCACAAUGUAGGCCAGGCUUCGAAUUCACAGUUGUCCAGCUGCCUCUGCCUCCCAAGUGCUGCUAUCAAAGGUGUGGUGCCACUGUGCCCGGCUUUGAUAAUUAUUUUUAACUCUUACAUCUAGGGUGUAUGUGUGUGUGUGUGUGUGUGUGUGUGUGUGUGUGUGUGUGUGUGUGUCUGUGUGUGUCUGUGUCUGUGUCUCUGUGUGUAUGUGUGUGAGUGUGUGUGUGUGUAUGUGUGUGUAUGUAUGUGUGAGUGUCUGUGUGUGUAUGUGUGUGUGUGUAUGUGUGUGUGUCUGUGUUUGUGAGUGUGUGUGUGUAUGUGUGUGUGUCUGUGUGUGUGUGCCUGUGUCUGUGUCUCUGUGUGUAUGUGUGUGAGUGUGUGUGUGUGUAUGUGUGUGUGUGAGUGUCUGUGUGUGUAUGUGUGUGUGUCUGUGUUUGUGAGUGUGUGUGUGUAUGUGUGUGUAUGUGUGUGUGUCUGUGUGUGUGCCUGUGUCUGUGUCUCUGUGUGUAUGUGUGUGAGUGUGUGUGUAUGUGUGUGUGUGUCUGUGUGUCUGUGUGUAUGUGUGUGCCUGUGUCUGUGUGUCUGUGUGUAUGUGUGUGCCUGUGUCUGUGUCUCUGUGUGUAUGUGUGUGAGUGUGUGUGUGUAUGUGUGUAUGUGUGUGUGAGUGUGUGUCUGUGUGUGUAUGUAUGUGUGUGUGUCUGUGUUUGUGAGUGAGUGUGUGUGUGUGUGUGUGUGUGUGUGUGUGUUUUCUUAAAAUGUUGCUAUACAGCAUUCAGAAGGCAGAGGCAGAAAGUUCUCUGUGGCUUUAAAGCUACCUUGAUCUACUUAAGGAGCUCCAGGACAGCCAGGACUAUAUAAAGAGACCCUGAUAAACAAACAAAUAAAUAAAAUGUUGCUACAAUAACUUUGUUUGUUAAUCCCUGAAAAAUUGAAUAUUCUGCCAGAUACUUCAAGAUCUUCACCUCAAAAGACCAUGGAUUAGAGACCAUGGAUUCUAUUCGUGAGCACACUAACUUUUACCACACUUGGCACUCAGUUCUGUGAACCUUCCUCAGGAUGCAGUCGUAAUGUUAAAGUUAACUCGGACUUUAAGUUGAGGAUACCUUUGUACUUUGAGUCCUACACAGUGAAAUCCCAAGCGUUUUGACUUUUUAACGAGUAAAAUGGAGCCAGUCACAGUAGCUUAGUUACCCUCAAUCACCAGCUGUCAGCUGCUCAGAACAGGCGCAAAUAAAACAAAUGCUGGGCAUGGCCAAGCUGUUUCCACAUCCUACUUCUGUGAGCUGUGAGCUGCUUGCCUACAAUGUCAGCAGGUCUCUGAGUACCUUCUGCCUGAGCUGUCAAUUCUAUUAAACUCAAAUGGUUUUGAGUUUUUAUUUUAGCAGCAGCAUGGACAAGUUGGCUCAGUUCAGGGUUCUCAACAGUGACAGUCCUGACAUUUUGGAAUGGUAAUUUCUUUGUUUUGAGAUGUUAUCCUGUGAUGUUGACUGUCACCCUAGUCCCACUGAUGCUAAUAGCAUCCCUCUCCCUUGGUUCAUCUCAAGUAUUGCCAAAGUUCCCAGAGUAGGGGAAUCGCAUCAGGUCCAAACCAAUAGUUCACUUUUGCUUUUUGUUGUUUUUGUACUAAAGACUUUGCAUAUGCUAGGCAAGCACUCUCUCAUGGAGCUAGAUCCCCAACCCACAUCAUUUUUUACGAAUGUAAAACUUAGAGCAGAGUAAAAAACUGAAUGUAUCAAUAAUGUCCAUCUUACGUCUGUGUGUUCCUGAUAUGAAUCUUUCUAGUGAUUUAUAUGGUUACAACUGUUCUGGAAUCUUAUUGUUAAAUUCUUUAAUACACAACACAGCCAGGAGAUCCUCAGAGUCUAAGAGGUCAAAGUAGCCAAUGAAUUCCAUAAGGUUCAAUAUCUGUUAAAUACAGAGAUAAGACUAAACCACAGUAGUUGUUCUCAGUUGAAACCAGAAUUCUGAAUUUUUCCUCACCAAAGUCACAUGACUAUUGUUAUUAUGGCCCAAGGACAAUCUUUAAGUCACAAAACAUGUAUAAGAACAAAUAUCUUUUUUAUUGUUUUCAUAUAAAAAUAUUUAAAAUAGAUUUUAUAUGUUCAUGAAAAGAAACUGAUAAAAUAAAUUAUAAGGGUAAAUGUCUGAAGUUAAUACCUCAUUAAAGUGAUCAUAUAGGGCAAUAACUUACAAAAAACAUAUGAUCCAAUUUGUACAGUUAGAUAUAUAUAAUCUGACAGAACCAACACCAAAAACUGGCAAUUAUUAAUGUGUUGAGAGGACUGUUUUACAGGAUUUAUUUUUCCAUUUUCUAAGUGAAAAACAGCUUAUUGGGAACAUUUUAUUGUUUGUAUAAACAGAUCUAUUUCACACAGACAUCAUAAGGAAAAGGCUGUGAAACCUACAGCAAAUGGUGAUAAAGGAAAGCCGUGGGUUUAGAGAACUGUCUCCCAGCUCAUCGAUUUCUCAGAUCCAGCCCUACUGAGCCAGCUGGCCCCGUCUAUGACGAUGUCACAGUGAUCUGUGUCAACUAUGUGAAGCCAUAACCUCCUUGCUGACUGACGGUUUGUUUCUGAAACCUUGAGAUAUGACUACCACUAAUUAAAGCAUAGACAUUAGGAAUCUACAAGCUAUAGAUUCCACCCCAGCCAACAGAAAAGGAGGAGAAGCAGGAGCUCUGAGAACUCCUUGGAUGGUUUGGGGUGGGUUUGAGGUGGUUUGGUUUGGUUUGGUUCUCUCUACAUAGAGCUGGCGAUGCAGGACUUGUUACAAACCAGGCUGGCCUCGUACUCACUGACAUCCUCCUGCUGGUGGGCUACAGUGCCCAUCUGUUUUGUAUUUUUUCAGACAACUGUUCCACUGUGUUUCCUUAGCUAGCCUGGAACUCUCCAUGUAGACCAGGCUGGCCUUGAACUCACAGUGCUAGGAUUAAAAUGUGCCACCUUGCCUAACUUCUUUUUUACUUUUCACAUAAAUGGCCUUUUCCCCCUUCAUAAAAGGAUUAGUAAAGGUGCUAUCGUGAAAGCCAGCAAAGCAAUCGCAAACUCUCACAGAAACACUCUCCAUGAACUUUCACCUAGUAAGCCAGUGAAUGCUUGUUUGGUAUACAGUGUUGACAGGCACCAAAGGAACAUGCAGACAAGACAAACAGGCAUAUGGUGCAGGAGAAGAAAUGUCUAUAACCUGAGUUUGUUCUUUCGUCACACUGCUAGGAAAUAAUGCCAACUGAGGACAAAGUGAGUCAGGUCACAUGCUGGAGAGUCUUUCCAGCAUCAACACUAAUCCAUCACAGCCUGCUGCUUUCUGUGCUGGGCCUGUGUAUGUCCUCUGAUUUCAACAGUGCCAUUCUAACCUUGAAGGUCUUAACUUAGGAGUCUGCAUAGCCAAGAGUUCAUCUUUUAUUCUGUCAUAAAGGCUCUUACUUGUGCCCAGGUCUGGUGAACGCACCAACUUUGUUUACCCACAGUUCUCAGCUUCAGUGUUAGAAACCUUGAUAUAGAAGGCAUGUCAGUACAAAAAAAAAAAAAAAAAAAAACAAAAAAAAAAAAAAAACAA
Molecule: long non-coding RNA, 7495 nt
Organism: Rattus norvegicus (Norway rat)
Lineage: Eukaryota; Metazoa; Chordata; Mammalia; Rodentia; Muridae
Source: RefSeq, a predicted model, not a curated record